This 789-nucleotide ribosomal RNA is filed under the name Akanthomyces muscarius. RNAcentral's name for it is "partial large subunit ribosomal RNA". It matches the Rfam family "Eukaryotic large subunit ribosomal RNA", at positions 85 to 906 of the family's 3401-position model. The record is from RNAcentral. Lineage: Eukaryota; Fungi; Ascomycota; Sordariomycetes; Hypocreales; Cordycipitaceae.
AACGGCGAGUGAAGCGGCAACAGCUCAUAUUUGAAAUCUGGCCCUUGGGUCCGAGUUGUAAUUUGUAGAGGAUGCUUUUGGCGAGGUGCCUUCCGAGUUCCCUGGAACGGGACGCCAUAGAGGGUGAGAGCCCCGUCUGGUCGGACACCGAGCCUCUGUAAAGCUCCUUCGACGAGUCGAGUAGUUUGGGAAUGCUGCUCAAAAUGGGAGGUAUAUGUCUUCUAAAGCUAAAUAUUGGCCAGAGACCGAUAGCGCACAAGUAGAGUGAUCGAAAGAUGAAAAGCACUUUGAAAAGAGGGUUAAAAAGUACGUGAAAUUGUUGAAAGGGAAGCGCCUAUGACCAGACUUGGGCCCGGUGAAUCAUCCAGCGUUCUCGCUGGUGCACUUUGCCGGGCACAGGCCAGCAUCAGUUUGGCGCGGGGGAAAAAGGCUUUGGGAAUGUGGCUCCCUCGGGAGUGUUAUAGCCCAUUGUGUAAUACCCUGCGCCGGACUGAGGUACGCGCAUUGCAAGGAUGCUGGCGUAAUGGUCAUCAGCGACCCGUCUUGAAACACGGACCAAGGAGUCGUCUUCGUAUGCGAGUGUUCGGGUGUCAAACCCCUACGCGUAAUGAAAGUGAACGCAGGUGAGAGCUUCGGCGCAUCAUCGACCGAUCCUGAUGUUCUCGGAUGGAUUUGAGUAAGAGCAUACGGGGCCGGACCCGAAAGAAGGUGAACUAUGCCUGUAUAGGGUGAAGCCAGAGGAAACUCUGGUGGAGGCUCGCAGCGGUUCUGACGUGCGAAUCGAUCGUC